RNAcentral lists this non-coding RNA (29 nucleotides) under Rattus norvegicus (Norway rat). Lineage: Eukaryota; Metazoa; Chordata; Mammalia; Rodentia; Muridae. The record is from RNAcentral.
UAGGACAGACAGAUAGAGGUGUCCAAAGU